ACUCCUGCGGGAGGCAGCAGUGGGGAAUUUUGGACAAUGGGCGAAAGCCUGAUCCAGCAAUGCCGCGUGUGUGAAGAAGGCCUUCGGGUUGUAAAGCACUUUUGUCCGGAAAGAAAUCCUUGGCUCUAAUACAGUCGGGGGAUGACGGUACCGGAAGAAUAAGCACCGGCUAACUACGUGCCAGCAGCCGCGGUAAUACGUAGGGUGCGAGCGUUAAUCGGAAUUACUGGGCGUAAAGCGUGCGCAGGCGGUUUGCUAAGACCGAUGUGAAAUCCCCGGGCUCAACCUGGGAACUGCAUUGGUGACUGGCAGGCUAGAGUAUGGCAGAGGGGGGUAGAAUUCCACGUGUAGCAGUGAAAUGCGUAGAGAUGUGGAGGAAUACCGAUGGCGAAGGCAGCCCCCUGGGCCAAUACUGACGCUCAUGCACGAAAGCGUGGGGAGCAAACAGGAUUAGAAACCCUAGUAGUCCCAUGA
This 474-nucleotide ribosomal RNA is filed under the name uncultured organism. RNAcentral describes it as "partial 16S ribosomal RNA". It matches the Rfam family "Bacterial small subunit ribosomal RNA", at positions 335 to 800 of the family's 1533-position model. The record is from RNAcentral.